This 294-nucleotide unclassified non-coding RNA is filed under the name Hevea brasiliensis (rubber tree). Lineage: Eukaryota; Viridiplantae; Streptophyta; Magnoliopsida; Malpighiales; Euphorbiaceae. The record is from RNAcentral.
GGCACUGAUCAUCUUGUUAAUCUAACUUUUAAGAUGGUAGAAAAAGAAGGGCUUCAAGUCUUAGAACACUUGCUAUGCAGAAGGUAAUGAAGUGAGUUGAUUAUAUAUGUACAUAGCCAGAGGCAAUUCCUUAACUGGGGCCUUCAUAGGCAAGGUAACAUGGGAAGCAAAACCAUGUGAUAAAGCAGAUAUGAGGAGAUGUUAGAGGGGUAGGCAUGUUUGUUUUUGUUUGACGAUCUACACACAAAGGUGAAGCAUAGAAAGGGUGUUACACAUGAUAUAUCUAUCUUUUUU